AUGCUCAGGCACAGAAAGGCAGUGAACGCUUCACUGACGCCGCCCUCUAAUCUCGGGGAGCGCCCUGUCAUCGGGCGGCGACAGAACCAUCAGAACCAUCAGAACCAUCAGUACCAUCAGAGCCAUCAGAACCAUCAGAACCAUCAGUGCCAUCAGUACCAUCAGUACCAUCAGAACCAUCAGAACCAUCAGUACCAUCAGAGCCAUCAGAACCAUCAGAACCAUCAGAGCCAUCAGUGCCAUCAGUACCAUCAGAACCAUCAGAACCAUCAGUACCAUCAGUGCCAUCAGAACCAUCAGUACCAUCAGAACCAUCAGAACCAUCAGUACCAUCAGUGCCAUCAGUACCAUCAGUACCAUCAGAACCAUCAGAACCAUCAAUACCAUCAGAACCAUCAGUACCAUCAGAGCCAUCAGUGCCAUCAGAACCAUCAGAACCAUCAGUGCCAUCAGUACCAUCAGAACCAUCAGAACCAUCAGUACCAUCAGAGCCAUCAGAACCAUCAAUACCAUCAGAGCCAUCAGAACCAUCAGUACCAUCAGAACCAUCAGUGCCAUCAGUACCAUCAGUACCAUCAGAACCAUCAGAACCAUCAGUACCAUCAGUGCCAUCAGUACCAUCAGAGCCAUCAGAACCAUCAGAACCAUCAGUACCAUCAGUACCAUCAGAACCAUCAGAACCAUCAAUACCAUCAGAGCCAUCAGAACCAUCAGUACCAUCAGAACCAUCAGUGCCAUCAGUACCAUCAGUACCAUCAGAACCAUCAAUACCAUCAGAACCAUCAGAACCAUCAGUACCAUCAGAGCCAUCAGUGCCAUCAGAACCAUCAGUACCAUCAGAGCCAUCAGUGCCAUCAGAACCAUCAGAACCAUCAGUGCCAUCAGUACCAUCAGAACCAUCAGAACCAUCAGUACCAUCAGUGCCAUCAGAACCAUCAGUACCAUCAGAACCAUCAGAACCAUCAGUACCAUCAGUGCCAUCAGUACCAUCAGUACCAUCAGUACCAUCAGAACCAUCAAUACCAUCAGAACCAUCAGUACCAUCAGAGCCAUCAGUGCCAUCAGAACCAUCAGAACCAUCAGUGCCAUCAGUACCAUCAGAACCAUCAGAACCAUCAAUACCAUCAGAGCCAUCAGAACCAUCAGUACCAUCAGAACCAUCAGUGCCAUCAGUACCAUCAGUACCAUCAGAACCAUCAGAACCAUCAGUACCAUCAGUGCCAUCAGUACCAUCAGAGCCAUCAGAACCAUCAGAACCAUCAGUACCAUCAGAACCAUCAGUGCCAUCAGUACCAUCAGUACCAUCAGAACCAUCAGUACCAUCAGUGCCAUCAGUACCAUCAGUACCAUCAGAACCAUCAGAACCAUCAAUACCAUCAGAACCAUCAGUACCAUCAGAGCCAUCAGUGCCAUCAGAACCAUCAGAACCAUCAGUGCCAUCAGUACCAUCAGAACCAUCAGAACCAUCAGUACCAUCAGUGCCAUCAGAACCAUCAGUACCAUCAGAGCCAUCAGAACCAUCAAUACCAUCAGAGCCAUCAGAACCAUCAGUACCAUCAGAACCAUCAGUGCCAUCAGUACCAUCAGUACCAUCAGAACCAUCAGAACCAUCAGUACCAUCAGUGCCAUCAGUACCAUCAGUACCAUCAGAACCAUCAGAACCAUCAAUACCAUCAGAACCAUCAGAACCAUCAGUGCCAUCAGAACCAUCAGAACCAUCAAUACCAUCAGAACCAUCAGAACCAUCAGUACCAUCAGAGCCAUCAGAACCAUCAGAACCAUCAAUACCAUCAGAACCAUCAGAACCAUCAAUACCAUCAGAACCAUCAGUACCAUCAGAGCCAUCAGUGCCAUCAGUGCCAUCAGAACCAUCAGAACCAUCAGUACCAUCAGUGCCAUCAGAACCAUCAGUGCCAUCAGAACCAUCAGAACCAUCAGAACCAUCAAUACCAUCAGAACCAUCAGAACCAUCAGAACCAUCAGUACCAUCAGUGCCAUCAGUGCCAUCAGUACCAUCAGAACCAUCAGAACCAUCAGUACCAUCAGUGCCAUCAGAACCAUCAGAACCAUCAGUACCAUCAGUGCCAUCAGUACCAUCAGUACCAUCAGAACCAUCAGAACCAUCAAUACCAUCAGAACCAUCAGUACCAUCAGAGCCAUCAGUGCCAUCAGAACCAUCAGAACCAUCAGUGCCAUCAGUACCAUCAGAACCAUCAGAACCAUCAGUACCAUCAGUGCCAUCAGAACCAUCAGUACCAUCAGAACCAUCAAUACCAUCAGAACCAUCAGAACCAUCAGUACCAUCAGAGCCAUCAGUGCCAUCAGAACCAUCAGAACCAUCAGUACCAUCAGAACCAUCAGAACCAUCAGUACCAUCAGUGCCAUCAGAACCAUCAGUACCAUCAGAGCCAUCAGAACCAUCAAUACCAUCAGAACCAUCAGAACCAUCAGUACCAUCAGAGCCAUCAGAACCAUCAGUACCAUCAGAACCAUCAGAACCAUCAGUACCAUCAGAACCAUCAGUGCACACAGUGA
Betta splendens (Siamese fighting fish) is the source of this 2535-nucleotide long non-coding RNA. NCBI's taxonomy places the organism in Eukaryota, Metazoa, Chordata, Actinopteri, Anabantiformes, Osphronemidae. The record is from Ensembl.